This 390-nucleotide ribosomal RNA is filed under the name Triticum aestivum (bread wheat). RNAcentral describes it as "partial small subunit ribosomal RNA". The record is from RNAcentral. Lineage: Eukaryota; Viridiplantae; Streptophyta; Magnoliopsida; Poales; Poaceae.
AUGUCUAAGUGUACUGCAUUUGUUCUUUUUAUGCACUUUUUAACGACCAUAGUCAAACUUCAUUUUGACACAGUGUAUGUUUUCCAUCCUGGGGCGCCUAGGUUUGAGGAGGUUACUCAAUUGAUUGACCAUUAUUUUGCAGAGGGUGAUGUUGGUGUGAGCUUUGACCAGAGAUGUCCCAUCUUGUCUGAAACACAAUCGCAGUCUGUUGAUGGUACAGAGCAAGUUACACAGGAUUGGAUGGUCUUGCAUCAGCUUUGUGCAUAUGAAUUGAAGCAAAACAAGAAGAAGUUGAGGUUUGAAAGUGACUCAGAAGAGUUUGUAGAGAAGGAGAAGCAGAGGAGAGCUGCAGAUGGUGCCAAGGGUGCCAAAUUUGCCAAGGUGAAGUAG